This 491-nucleotide ribosomal RNA is filed under the name uncultured bacterium. Its description in RNAcentral is "partial 16S ribosomal RNA". It matches the Rfam family "Bacterial small subunit ribosomal RNA", at positions 29 to 507 of the family's 1533-position model. The record is from RNAcentral.
AUGAACGCUAGCUACAGGCUUAACACAUGCAAGUCGAGGGGAAACGACAUCGAAAGCUUGCUUUUGAUGGGCGUCGACCGGCGCACGGGUGAGUAACGCGUAUCCAACCUGCCCAUCACUUGGGAAUAACCUUGCGAAAGUAAGACUAAUACCCAAUGACAUCCCACGAAGACAUCUGAAUGGGAUUAAAGAUUUAUCGGUGAUGGAUGGGGAUGCGUCUGAUUAGCUUGUUGGCGGGGUAACGGCCCACCAAGGCAACGAUCAGUAGGGGUUCUGAGAGGAAGGUCCCCCACAUUGGAACUGAGACACGGUCCAAACUCCUACGGGAGGCAGCAGUGAGGAAUAUUGGUCAAUGGGCGAGAGCCUGAACCAGCCAAGUAGCGUGCAGGAUGACGGCCCUAUGGGUUGUAAACUGCUUUUAUAAGGGAAUAAAGUGGGUCUCGGGAGACUUUUUGCAUGUACCUUAUGAAUAAGGACCGGCUAAUUCCGUG